UACGUAGGGGGCAAGCGUUGUCCGGAUUUAUUGGGCGUAAAGAGCGUGUAGGCGGCUAGGUAGGUCCGUUGUGAAAACUCGAGGCUCAACCUCGAGACGUCGGCGGAAACCAUCUGGCUAGAGUCCGGAAGAGGAGAGUGGAAUUCCUGGUGUAGCGGUGAAAUGCGCAGAUAUCAGGAAGAACACCCGUGGCGAAGGCGGCUCUCUGGGACGGUACUGACGCUGAGACGCGAAAGCGUGGGGAGCGAACAGG
Molecule: ribosomal RNA, 253 nt
Filed under: uncultured bacterium
Lineage: Bacteria
Description: partial 16S ribosomal RNA
Rfam family: Bacterial small subunit ribosomal RNA
Source: RNAcentral